Molecule: microRNA precursor, 191 nt
Organism: Oryza sativa Indica Group (long-grained rice)
Lineage: Eukaryota; Viridiplantae; Streptophyta; Magnoliopsida; Poales; Poaceae
Rfam family: MIR812 microRNA precursor family
Source: Rfam
UUUAAGUACAACUAUGAGUUUUCGCGUCCAACUUUAGUCGUCUGUCUUAUUUAAAAAAAUUUAUAAUUAGUAUUUUUUAUGAGAUGAUAAGACAUGAAUAGUACUUUAUGUUUGACUUAUGUUUUAAAUUUUUUUUUAAAAAAAAUAAUUAAGACGGACGAUGGACGCGAAAACUUAUGGCUGCACUUAAA